RNAcentral lists this ribosomal RNA (991 nucleotides) under Echinochasmus japonicus. RNAcentral describes it as "16S ribosomal RNA". The stretch from base 665 to 944 matches the Rfam family "Bacterial large subunit ribosomal RNA", at positions 2077 to 2643 of the family's 2925-position model. Lineage: Eukaryota; Metazoa; Platyhelminthes; Trematoda; Plagiorchiida; Echinochasmidae. The record is from RNAcentral.
AGUACCACUUUGAGGUGUAUUAUUUAGUUUGGUUUUCAUUUAAUAAAGUACCUUUUGCAUCAUGAUUUGUUGAUGGGAGUUAUGGUUUGAUAGGGUCCCGAAGGAUAGUGAUUUCUUCCUGCGCUGCUUAGUGCUGUAUCGAGGGUGUGUAACUUCGGUUAGACGUUGGGAGGGUUGUGAUAAAUAACUCGGACUAUCUAAUAUCUGGUUUGGGGUUGGAUUAUUUUGUGGUAUUUUGUUUGCAAGGAUGUGGGCGAAAAGAUUAGAGGGUUGUUUGUUGUCGAUAUGUGGGUUGGGUUAGAAUUACCCUGUCUUUAUGUGUGUGUUAAUAUUCUAGGUGUUUUUGUGUUUCCUUAAUGUUUGCUAACCCAGGGGAACGAGUGGUAGUUAUUAUGAUAGAAUAAGUAGUAUGAGUAGUCUUUUUUUUUCUCGGCAGCCUUCGGUCUGUUUAUUAAAAACAUUUCCAUUUGUGUGUAUAGAUGGUAAUGCCUGCCCAAUGUUACAUUUAUGUGAUGAAUGGCCGCAGUAUAUUGACUGUGCUAAGGUAGCAUAAUUAGUUGCCUCAUAAUUGGAGGAUUGUUUGAAUGGUUUAACCAGAGGGUUGUGUAAGAUGGGGAUUUUAUUCGAAAUUGGUGACUGGGUGCAGAAUCCCGGUGUUAUUUGAUAGACGGAAAGACCCCGAGAUCUUUAAUGUUUUUGUGUUUUGCUUGGGGUGAGAGCAUAUAUUUCAUGUGUUUUUUGAUCCUUGUGGAUAGGAGGUGAAAGUUACCUCGGGGAUAACUAGGUAAAAAGUGAGGAGAGAUCAGAUCGAUUUACUUAAUUGCCAUCUCGAUGUUGACUUGGGAACUAUGUGGGGGUGUAGGUGUUCUCAUAUAGGGUCUGUUCGACCUAGGUUCCUUCAUGAGUUGAGUUAAGACCGGCGUGAGCCAGGUCGGUUCUUAUCUAUAUUUGGUGCGGAUUAGUACGAAAGGAUUGUUUGUGCCUUAUGUUA